GCCAGCAUGGCUCAGUGGUUGAGCAUCAGCCUAUGAACCAGGAGGUCAAGGUUCAAUUCCUGGUCAGGGCA
This 71-nucleotide transfer RNA is filed under the name Myotis myotis. It matches the Rfam family "tRNA". Rfam says of the family: Transfer RNA (tRNA) molecules are approximately 80 nucleotides in length. Their secondary structure includes four short double-helical elements and three loops (D, anti-codon, and T loops). RNAcentral also lists the same sequence under 1 other name. Lineage: Eukaryota; Metazoa; Chordata; Mammalia; Chiroptera; Vespertilionidae. The record is from Rfam by way of RNAcentral.